CGGGUAGCUCAGUUGGUAGAGCAGAGGACUGAAAAUCCUUGUGUCGGCGGUUCAAACCCGCCCUUGG
This 67-nucleotide transfer RNA is filed under the name human gut metagenome. It matches the Rfam family "tRNA". Rfam says of the family: Transfer RNA (tRNA) molecules are approximately 80 nucleotides in length. The record is from RNAcentral.